UACGUAGGGCGCAAGCGUUAUCCGGAAUUAUUGGGCGUAAAGAGCUUGUAGGCGGUCUGUCGCGUCUGCUGUGAAAAUCCGGGGCUCAACCCCGGACUUGCAGUGGGUACGGGCAGACUAGAGUGUGGUAGGGGAGACUGGAAUUCCUGGUGUAGCGGUGAAAUGCGCAGAUAUCAGGAGGAACACCGAUGGCGAAGGCAGGUCUCUGGGCCACUACUGACGCUGAGAAGCGAAAGCAUGGGGAGCGAACAGG
Molecule: ribosomal RNA, 253 nt
Filed under: uncultured bacterium
Lineage: Bacteria
Description: partial 16S ribosomal RNA
Rfam family: Bacterial small subunit ribosomal RNA
Source: RNAcentral